Equus caballus (horse) is the source of this 7158-nucleotide non-coding RNA. The record is from RefSeq and is a predicted model, not a curated record. NCBI's taxonomy places the organism in Eukaryota, Metazoa, Chordata, Mammalia, Perissodactyla, Equidae.
CCCAAAGGAAUUGAGCUGAAGAGGAGCCUGUGAAAAGCCUUCAACUGGAGAAGGGGAUCCUCAGCAGAGCCUUGGGCUAGGAAACAGGAUGGUACCGGCCGGAAGUGUAGGAAGAGUGUCGCUGUUCACCUUUAAAUACACACCUGAGAUCAGCGUUUGCGGCAGAGCUAUACCCUCGGGUCGUGCUCACACACAGAAAGGAGGAAAAUCAAUUUCAAUCCCCGCGGGACGGGAUUACUGGUGCAGAAGGUCACUGAAUGCUAGCCCUGCUCAAUGGGCUUGGAACAAGAUCCUUGUCCGCACUGCUUCACUGCACACGCAGCCCAGGGAGGAGGGCUGCCUGGAGACUCACUCCCAGCCUUUCCCCACGAGGGAGGAGAAAGAUGUCGCUUGUACAAGCCACAGAUAAAUACUUUAAACAGCGAAGGGGAGAGGCAGACACGUGCAUGUGCAAUGUGGAAACGGAGACUUAUGUUUGCACCUAAUGCUCUAGAGAAAUUGGUCAAGACUGGCUCAACCGACUGAAAAUAUGACUGCUGUAAUUCUGUCAAGGUCACUUGUCAGACUGGGUUAUGUGCUCCGCAAGGGCUUGCUGCACAGAUCGGCCUUACCGAAGGGCCAUAACUCACGGCUCUAUCUCACGGAAACCUCCCAGGCCCGGUUACCAUUUUGUUCCUGCCCUUCCCGGCCCGGGUAUCUGAUUCAGGCCAUCUGCAGCAUACAGGGGGUCCAGGCUGAGCCUGGAGCCUGUGUCAGUGAUGGCAGCCCUGAGCCCUUCCAGAUGUUGGCGGACUGGUGCCAUUUCUGUCACCUUGGAGAUUAUUACGAACAUUUUAUUGAAACCGCAUGAAUGGUAACAAGGUCUGAGGCACAGAGGGGCAGGAGAACAAAGGCAGCCAGGCCUUUCCUACGGAAGACGUGUGAGAAGUGCUUACCUGGUCUCAGGAGCGCACACUUUUUUUCCCAGUGGGAGGAAUAGGGUUUCAUGGAAAGAGCCAGGGCAUGGCAGUCAAAUAGAUCUGCAGACUUGAGUCUGAAUCCUGGCUCCAUUCAUGAGCUGUGGGACGUUGGGACAUUAUUUAACCUCACCGAGGUUCGGUUACCUAAUCCAUAAAGUGGGGAAAAGCUAAUGGAUGUAAAGCGCCUGGCGCCAAGCCUGCGCUCCUCACGUGGGUAUUCCAGCCCCGUUCUCAGCAAGAAUUGCCACAUAGUUCUCUUUUCUCGCUGUUUCUUAAAUUGGCCCUUGUUUAUGCCCAGAAUCUCCAGGCUGCUUUCGCUUCCUGUCAUCAUGUUCAAAGCUUGGCCUAGCCCUCUCUUUACCAAGCAUAUGUCAUUGGGACGAUAGGAUUGGAUUUUCAUGAGAAAAAGGUACCCAGAUUAGUGCAUCGCAUUCCCAAGCAGCAUGAUGAUGGGCAGGGAGGCGGGGAGGAGAAAGGAGAACAAGGAGCAUCUCUUCCUCUCCCUUCUCCUCCUGUGCUCCUGUCUAGUCCCCAGGAUCUGGGAAACCAAGAAAGAAGCCUAGCCAGUCGCACUGCAGUCAGUCAGCUGUGAUCCUGAGCUCACUGUGGGGAGGGUCAUAAAGGAGAUGCAGGCUCUGGACGUUGGGUCCCACAUCCUCCCAGGAGGAGGGAAGGUAAACAUCGCCCCUAGCUGGGAGGAUCAGGAGCCCUGGCAUACCCCAGCAGAAAACAUAGCGAGACUUUUCUUAAACAAAACAUUCAGGGCUCAUUUUCCAGCAGUGAGAAACUAUGGAUGCCCUCCCAAAUCUAAGAUUUUUGGCCGCCACCUCAGGAGCCCUCCUGGGAGAGAUUAUUGAGAACCUGAAAUCUGGUGGGUCAGGCCCUUCCUGGGUUUAAGAUUCUCAGAGAUGAGAAAGUCUGUGCCAACCUGUGAUGCCCCAUGUGGGCAGAGCAUGCCGCCUGCAGAGACGGCUGAAGUGUGUUAAAGAGAAAAAAUUAUUCAUGACCCUUGUUAAAGAUGGUAAGGCAGACUUUAUGCAGCGGGGGCCACCACAAUAGGAUCUUGUAGUAGGGGAGAAAGAUGGGACUCAACUCUGACCCCAGCAAGGACAAGUGGGGUUUGUAGUGAAGGAGCAGGGUGGGUGUCAAGGAAUGGAAAACUACUAAGAGGAAACAUGAGGGGUAAGGGGGACUCAUGCUAGGCCGACUCAGUAGAAUUCUUGCUGAUGGCAGGCCAGCGCGAUAAGACACCGAGGUGGUCAGAUCCCAGGGACGUGGGAUUUUCACUACAUCAACUUAGAAUUCCUACACAACUGUAUCCUACAAGGACAGAGAGGUCAGGCCAGCAGAGGACUCCAAGGAGCCGGGUUAAACUUUGGUUAAAGAAGAGAGUCUUUUUCAAGUGACGGGGCCCAGCCGCGGGUUUUGGCUGAUUGUAGGCGGACAAGAUGUUUCUGAAGGCAGCACGGAGGUGGUGGAAACUGCCCCAAUUCCAGGAACUAAAAGAAACGUCAAGUAGUCAAACCUCUUAUUUAGGGAGCUUUUAUUGUUGAGAGAGGCCUUUCCAAUUUUCAUGGGCCCCGCAGCCGCAACAGGAACAGCAACACAUACCAACGUCAGCCUCAUGCUUCCUAAGCCCCAGGAAUGUGGGAUGCAGCCGCUGGACCAGUCCACCAGGUGGCAGAGGGAGAGCAGCGUGGCAGUCCCAAGGAGAAAACACGAUGGUGGCCAAGGGCAAAGGGCUGCUGCAACAAAGAGUCACAAGCUGGGUGGCUUAAAAGAACAGAAAUGCGUUCUCUCAGAGUUCUGGAGGUAAGAAGUCUGAACUAAGGUGCCGGCGGCGCCAUGCCCCCUCCGAAGGCUCUAGGAAAGACUCCUCCCAUUGCUGCUUCUAGCUUUGGUGGUUGCCAGCAAUUGGACUCAUUCCUUGGUUUAUAGACGUAUUACCCCCGUCUCUGCCUCCAUCUUCACAUGGUGUUUGUUCUCUUCUGUGUCUGUGUCCAGAUUUCCCUUUUCUUAUGAGGACACCAGUCCUCGGAUUUAGGGCCCACUCUACUCCAGCAUUCUCUCAUCUUGAUUACAUCUGCGAAGACUCUCUCUGCAAAUAACGUCACAGUCACAGGUACCAGGGGUUAGGACUUCAACAUAUCUUUUGGGGGGGACACAAUUCAAACCACAAUAACUAACUUUGCCCACAUGCAGGGCAGACAUAAUAAUCGAUCAUGGGAUUUUCUAUGGAGAAGACUAGACAUCUCAAUCCUUCUCCACACAGCUGUCCUGGCUGUACCUCCCAGCAAUCAGAGCUAGUAUCUGAGGUGAAACUGAUUUGCCAUCACAAGUCCCACUAAAGGAAUGAGGGAAUGAGUCUGGAAUGAUGGCAAUCCAGCACAUGGUGAUGAGCUUGUGGGGAAGAUGGUGCCGGUGCCCUUCAAGCCCGGUUCAGGCAGCCUUCUAAGGUGGGUCCUUCUGGGAGUCAUCCUGGAUAGGUCUGUUACCAGGCAAUCUCCCUCUUGGCCUAGCAGGCACAGUGACAUAUGACCACAGCCUUGGGUUCAAGGGGAAAAGGUCUUGCUGCUUUUUCUGAGUCUGCAAUCCACAUGCAUUGUAGCAUGGCCGGGUUCCAACUUCACUCCAUGCAUGCAUUUCUCCUCCCUCCACCCCCCCACAAAUUAGAAAUACUGAUCCACAGCCAUCUCCCAGGGCUGUGGGGCAAUUUAAUUAAUGUUUAUAAAGCACUCUAAGGUCUUCGGAUGAAAACUGCUGUGUAAGUGCAAAAUUAUUAUUAGUUCUCAGCCUCCUGUCCCUUGACUUCUGACAUGGGCUUUUGUUAUUCCUGAAUGGGAGCCGUUUAUGUGCUGUCCAGCUGGCUCUUUCGGGUACAUAGGCAAGUACAUACACAUUUGCAGAUUUUUUUCCCUUUGAAAAAGGCAUUCCAACUCUGUGGGAUGUCUUCAAGCUUUUCAACGUCUGAAUUUCUCUCUGCUUGUCUCUACUAAGUACUGUAAUUGACAAGGGUAGAUUGUAAACAGGUUACUUAGGAAAAAAGGGAUGGGGAAAAUGGUCAAUUUGAAGAAAUGGGCCCUCUUAUGAUGAAGAAUAAAACAGUAUCUCCUUCUCAUGCAGAAUCUGAAUGAACCACUAAGUGAGGCCUGUCUCCCUUGCCCAGAGGUAUUCUGCAUGUGUUUAUGCUUUGAAAGGAGGAGAGAAGAGAAGGUUUGAUUUCAGUGCCCAAGUUUCACCUCCUUCCAUCACCCUAACUUCUCAGGAACCAUGGAAACACAUACACCCUGCCUAGAUGAUGUUUUCCUGAUAAUUCUUCAUUACCUAACUGUGCACUUGCCUGGGAUCCCAUGGGGAGAAUGAAAUAAAGUGGAAGAGAAAAAAGAUGUCUGCAAGUGAAAUGCCUUGUCUCUGAAGGACGAAAGGGGGGCUCUUGUGUAAUUUAUCAAGCUCUGGGGCAACAAACAAUGUUACAUGGCACCAUUUUCCUUUUCUCUAAAACAUUUUCAUACCCUUCCCAUGUUACCCACAUGCAACCCAUUAAGCUCCCUUGAAGGUGCUUUUUGGUUUAUCCACUGCUUUGUUAGCAGUGUCUGCUAGUCAGCCAACUGCUGUAAGAUUUUGUUUUUAAAAUCACUAGGAAGAAAUUAUGUAACACAUAAUCAGCUGGACAAAAGUAUAAAGGUACAGAACCAAUGACAUAAGCAAAUGUUAGGUCUGUGACUGUGAACAGGGGAAAAUAAACCUAAAAAGCUCUGAUGAUGCACUUGAUGCUUCUCAAAUUAACCAAUCAUUGAUGGAAAAUAAUAUCAAAUUAUGUAAGGGAAAAACCAGAAAUGUUCUGCUAGGACAGGAAAGUUGAGGCAGGAGUGGGAGCGAAGAUGGAUAAAACCACCUUUAAUCAUGAAGCAUCUACAACUCUAGCAGCACCAGAGUCCUGUCAGCUACCGUGACGAUCAUGACACACAGGGACCUCUUCUGUGGUCUAAGAUGACUAAGUUCUGCCUGUUAUGUAGAGGGGUCAAGAUGGAAGGGAUAGUCUCUUUCUUUCCAUUCCUUUCUUUUUAAAAAGGAAAGGAGACCUAAGUAAAAAAUAAAACGUAUGUGCAGUCGCUAGGAUCAUAAGAAAACCCAGGACUGAAAAUAGAAAGGACAACAUAAGGGAACCAGUUUGUUUCCAUUCCUUCUUUGCUCUUCCAUUGAUGCUGCGCUUCUCUGGGCUUCCAUCAGCCUCCUAAAGUCUUCCUGCUUCCCAUCUCCUGCAGCUCUUUCAUUUCAUCCUCCACUUCGUUUGCCUGGUAAUUGGCCUAGAAAUGGAUCUAAUUAUAUGGCUCCCUGACUCAGAAUCCUUCGUUACUGCCCCACCGUACAAAGUCUCUACAAGAACGUGUCUAUCUUCCAUUAUUGCCUCCUCCCUAUUUGGCCUGGGCUGUGGGUACCCUGCGCCUACAAAAACUCUCAUAGAUUUCUCUGUUCAAGGGUGCUCUCUACUUUUUUGCUCCAGAGACCCUGCCUUUGCCUUUCCCAUCACCCUCUCCCACGAUUACUGUUCAAAAUCCUGCUUGUCUUUCAAGUCCAAGUGGAAUCAGUUCUUUAAAGUGGUCUAAGGUGCUCCCAUAUGAAUUCAGAACCUCCCACGGUCCUUUUCCUGUGUUCCCACUAUUCUUUGUCUACUUGCUAAUGGUAAGCAAAACAAGUACUGGUGCUUACAGCUCUGAGCUCAUUUCUCUCUCCACUGGACUGUGAGCUCCUGGAAGGGAAGGAUUGUGUCUUGCUUUUCUUGAGUACUACAUGGAGCACCUACAAGAGUAUUGUGUCCGGAGUAAAUGCUCAGCAAAUGUACUUAUGUACAAUUUCACCCAUUCAACACACACACACACACACACUACCAAAAGGCAGUUGUACAAUUUUAACUUCCCAUGCAAUUUAAUGGCGAAAAUUAGAAAAUAAACACAUCUAGUUUUGAGAAGACAAUAAAUAGCAAUAAUAGACUCCCAUCAAAGAACUGAUUGAUUGUAUCUUACCAAUCAAUUAGCUCAAAUCUGGCUCUGCAAACAAUCGGUCGCAAAACUAUGAGGGACAAUUGCCAUUGAAUUAAGCAAACAACACCUAUCCUAAGAUUUUCAGGCCUUUGGCUAUUUUGACAGAGGAAGGAUGGAGUAAUAAACAAUUUUCCAGUUAAUGCAGCCCAAUAAAGUUGCCAAUGAGGAAAGAGCUGGGAACCAGAAUGAAUCAUCCUGAGACUCCCAAUUCUUACUGAGCCGUAGGGGUCAAACACAUGAGCCUCACGUACUCUCCCUACAUCCACAGGCUGCUGUCAGAGCUCUUCUACAGCCCCAGCAAAUAAUCGGGCUCUGCGGAGCCCAGUGCGUGCAGCUUAGUACUUUCUGUGAUGAAACCUGCUAAGAAUUAUUAUGAAAACAAAAACCACAGGCCUUCCUUUGGAACGAAGUGGAGCUGAUAUUCAUGUCUGUAUUUGUGUCUUGGGACAUCCCAAGGUGAAAUUAUUAUAACUGUAGAUCUAAUUGCAGAGACAAAGGAGGGCCCUGAGAACAAAGCUUUCCCUGGCAGUGGAGACAGAAUAAAUAUGGUCCACAAUCCUCUGCCUUCCUCUGAAAUAACGAUGGGCCCCAGUAAAGGCAGUGGAAAACCAGUUCACUCUCCUUGAUAAGUUCUGCCCUGCUCACUCUUACCCACCCCCAUCCCUCCCACAAACACACACACACACACACACACACACGCACACACACAACUUCUCUUAUACCAAAGACUAGGUGUGAAAUGUUGAGUCCCACCUGAUCUCAAAUUUCCAUCACGUUUUUAGCUGAAGUUGGUCCAAACUGACGAAGGGCAGCCCUCGCCCCUCGUUUCUCAGGUACUGUCAUUCUAAUGGCCAUGGAGCAUUUAGUUUCAUUGUAUAUCCAUCCUCUGAAAGCAAUAUGCCUCCCCCACCAAGUCAAUUCUUCCUUUUAACAAAACCGCUUUGUCAAAGAUUCAUGGUCACUGUUACUUUCUCUGCUGCCUUUUUCUUCUUUCUGAUUCUAAUGUUAUUCUAGGGCUUACUAUUUGCCAGACACUGGUCUAAGCUCUUAGAUGUAUUAUCUCGUUCAAUCCUCACAACAAACCUAUUAGGCAGAUACUAUGGCAUAAUGGUUAAGUUCGUGUACUCUAUUUUGGCAGGUUCAGAUCCCAGGCACAG